GACACAACAAAGUCUCCAUUUUUGAAACCUGAUGCAGAUGUUGCAUGUUGUCAUGACUUGGAAGCAUAUUUGCAUUUGGUGGAUGGAUAUUUGGGAUCAAAUGAAUCAUUUAGACCAAAUGCUAAGAGGAGUCUUGAGAAGUUGUUAAGUGAACAAAGUGCUAAUAUUAAGAAAUUGUAUACUAGUAAGGGUAAAGAUUUGAGUAGUCUCAAUCUUAAUAGAGAAAUUAAUUUUCCUAGGCCUAGUUGUUUG
RNAcentral lists this unclassified non-coding RNA (252 nucleotides) under Hevea brasiliensis (rubber tree). The record is from RNAcentral. Lineage: Eukaryota; Viridiplantae; Streptophyta; Magnoliopsida; Malpighiales; Euphorbiaceae.